Musa acuminata subsp. malaccensis (wild Malaysian banana) is the source of this 1082-nucleotide non-coding RNA. Lineage: Eukaryota; Viridiplantae; Streptophyta; Magnoliopsida; Zingiberales; Musaceae. The record is from RefSeq and is a predicted model, not a curated record.
UAUACCUUAAAAUUGAUCUCUCUUAUGUUGGUGUGCCUGUGUGCACGCAUGUCUGUGUGCAUGCAUGUGGAUAUUAGCUAUUUACUUAUUCUGUUGGCAUUAAUAGUUUCUAGUAUAACGUGCUUAACUUUUCUUUUCUUUCCUGCAGAAUCGUUUUUCAGAUGAACCUGACAAGUACUGUUCGAUUUUGGACAUCCUGAAAAUCCAUAGGACUAAUUGCAUGUUCAUUGAUGACGUUUAGCAAGAGGUUUUAGGUUUUCUUUUUUUUUUGUUUGUAUAAGCUUGAUUGUGCGAGUAUUUAUUUUUGGAUAUAUCUUGACUUGAAGUUUCCAGCUGUCCAUAUUACUUGGCACCAUGAUGAUUUGCUUUCAGCGUUAAAGUCUCUCUUACCUGCUGGACAUGGAGCAGAGUCUAUUCAUCAGACAUCGUCUUGUAGAUCUUUAGGGUACCAGAACGAAGACAAUGAAGAAUGAAAUCCUAGCAAAGCAGAUUUAGAGCUCGAUCUUUCUAAUUGUCAGCAGUGUACCUUUGUUCCUGCUUCCUGCCUGAGAAUUAUCAAAUGCCUCCUGCAAGCAACGGACUUGAGCUGGAUGCAUCGGUACUGAAUAAUGUUGUGGUAUCCAAAACUUCUGGAUGUAAGGAUUCUUCUAAGGACAGGCAAAGAAACAAGUAUGAAAAAAUGGUUUGAGUCAGAUAUGCUAUUAGAGAUUAUUAGUGCAACUACUGGGGUUGAAGGAUUUGCUAGCAAAGCUCGAGGAUGACAAAGAUGAACUAGAAAUCAAUUUCCAAUCGAAGGUCACUUUCCUUAAUGGAUACAUGGAAACUAUAGGCUGGACGUUGUGGAUCAGCUACAGGAGAACCCCGGUGUGGUAUUGCGUCGCAUAUUAAUUCCUUUGAAGCAGAAGCACAAAGAGUGGGUGAUAUGUAUGAAGACGGUGCAGAAGUGCUCGACUGCAAAAGGUGACUUUGUUAUGAAAGGUACCAUUUAUUUCUUCGUGGACUUUGUCUUUUCUUACAUUACUUUUACUCUGAGCAGAUUACAUAUGCAGUAAGGUUAGAAGGAACAAAUGGAAACAUCUACA